GUCUUUCGUCAGACACGAACUACACGUCCAUGGUCCACAUCUCGACUAGUUUGGCGGAGUUUGACUGAGAUCGAACGUGAAUAUGGAACCAUGAAGACUUGAACAGGUAAUCACAACAGUCUUUAAGAACAUGAGGAGCAUCAGCCUUUGUAUGCACAAUCUCAACUACUUUGGACUACAACAGCAAGACACCUGGCCAUACAGAACAUAGGACCUACUGAUUCUAAUUUGGACUCCAUGGCUGAAAUGUCCAGUCUCUCCACAAGAAAAUGAAAGCACCGGUGUUAUUUUUAUUUUGAGUCUGUAUUCUGACAGUGAUUUCAAGUGUUGCUCAGUUUUAUAUAAGUCCUCUCUGUCUUGAACAUCCUGAGAAUGUCCACAACGGUAGUGAUUGCAACUGUUAAUGGACAGAGUUGAUGUAUAUUCUUUAUUGUUCUGAAAGUUGAUUAGAAGAAAGUGGACAGUGCAUGCUAAGUUUUUGAAAAGCAUGUUUUUUCCCCUGCUAAGGCCAGCUAUCUGAUUGGUUGAAACUUUGAGGAUUUUUUUUCCUCCUCAAUGAACUUCUGCCUAUAAAAUCCAUGACUAAAUGAAAGCUUCAAUCUUUUGAAGUUUGUAAUAGAGCCCAAUUGAUGGAAUUAUAGAAUUAGAAGGGAAAAGUCAACCGUAAGACUGUAUUUGUUUCCUUACUUUUGAGCUUUAUAAUAUAUAUAUA
Solea solea (common sole) is the source of this 712-nucleotide long non-coding RNA. RefSeq lists it as uncharacterized. The transcript has 3 exons. NCBI's taxonomy places the organism in Eukaryota, Metazoa, Chordata, Actinopteri, Pleuronectiformes, Soleidae. The record is from RefSeq and is a predicted model, not a curated record.